AUUGAACGCUGGCGGCAUGCCUUACACAUGCCAGUCGAACGGCAGCACGGGAGCAAUCCUGGUGGCGAGUGGCGAACGGGUGAGUAAUACAUCGGAACGUGCCCAGUAGUGGGGGAUAACCCGGCGAAAGCCGGACUAAUACCGCAUACGACCUACGGGUGAAAGCGGGGGAUCGCAAGACCUCGCGCUAUCGGAGCUGCCGAUGUCAGAUUAGCUAGUUGGUGGGGUAAAGGCCUACCAAGGCGACGAUCUGUAGCUGGUCUGAGAGGACGACCAGCCACACUGGGACUGAGACACGGCCCAGACUCCUACGGGAGGCAGCAGUGGGGAAUUUUGGACAAUGGGCGCAAGCCUGAUCCAGCCAUGCCGCGUGCGGGAAGAAGGCCUUCGGGUUGUAAACCGCUUUUGUCAGGGAAGAAACGCUCCGGGCUAAUACCACGGAGUAAUGACGGUACCUGAAGAAUAAGCACCGGCUAACUACGUG
Molecule: ribosomal RNA, 484 nt
Filed under: uncultured bacterium
Lineage: Bacteria
Description: partial 16S ribosomal RNA
Rfam family: Bacterial small subunit ribosomal RNA
Source: RNAcentral